RNAcentral lists this ribosomal RNA (468 nucleotides) under uncultured bacterium. RNAcentral describes it as "partial 16S ribosomal RNA". It matches the Rfam family "Bacterial small subunit ribosomal RNA", at positions 28 to 507 of the family's 1533-position model. The record is from RNAcentral.
GACGAACGCUGGCGGCGUGCUUAACACAUGCAAGUCGAACGGAAAGGCCCUGCUUUUGUGGGGUGCUCGAGUGGCGAACGGGUGAGUAACACGUGAGUAACCUGCCCUUGACUUUGGGAUAACUUCAGGAAACUGGGGCUAAUACCGGAUAGGAGCUCCUGCUGCAUGGUGGGGGUUGGAAAGUUUCGGCGGUUGGGGAUGGACUCGCGGCUUAUCAGCUUGUUGGUGGGGUAGUGGCUUACCAAGGCUUUGACGGGUAGCCGGCCUGAGAGGGUGACCGGCCACAUGGGGACUGAGAUACGGCCCAGACGCCUACGGGAGGCAGCAGUGGGGAAGAUUGCACAAGGGGCGGAAGCCUGAUGCAGCAACGCCGCGUGCGGGAUGACGGCCUUCGGGUUGUAAACCGCUUUCGCCUGUGACGAAGCGUGAGUGACGGUAAUGGGUAAAGAAGCACCGGCUAACUACGUG